CGCUGGCGGCAGGCCUAACACAUGCACGUCGAGCGCGCCCUUCGGGGUGAGCGGCGGACGGGUGAGUAACGCGUGGGAACGUGCCCUUUUCUACGGAAUAGCCUCGGGAAACUGAGAGUAAUACCGUAUACGCCCUUUGGGGGAAAGAUUUAUCGGAAAAGGAUCGGCCCGCGUUGGAUUAGGUAGUUGGUGGGGUAAUGGCCUACCAAGCCGACGAUCCAUAGCUGGUUUGAGAGGAUGAUCAGCCACACUGGGACUGAGACACGGCCCAGACUCCUACGGGAGGCAGCAGUGGGGAAUCUUAGACAAUGGGGGCAACCCUGAUCUAGCCAUGCCGCGUGAGUGAUGAAGGCCUUAGGGUUGUAAAGCUCUUUCAGCUGGGAAGAUAAUGACGGUACCAGCAGAAGAAGCCCCGGCUAACUCCGUG
Molecule: ribosomal RNA, 427 nt
Filed under: uncultured bacterium
Lineage: Bacteria
Description: partial 16S ribosomal RNA
Rfam family: Bacterial small subunit ribosomal RNA
Source: RNAcentral